CCGGAUCCUAGACGCUUUUUGACGGCUGGUGCUCCCCAGAAAAUGCGCCGUGUGAGCCCAAACAUGGUGGGGUAGAUCCAGUACGCUGGACCCCGAGCUUGCAGUCUGUGCUUCACAAAACACCAACAUCGUGUGCCCGUCUCCUCCCCCCGAGAUCGAGUAGUAACAGCCAUUCCAACUCUCCACCUCCAGCUUCUAGCACCAGGGACCGCCUCCACCACCCCAUGUGCCAAGUGGAGUUCGAGCUGGCGCGCGCGGCCCUCAAGCAGCUGAAGGGUCCCGUGAGCGAGCAGGAGAAGCUGCUGGUCUAUGGCUUGUACAAACAGGCCACCCAGGGCGACUGCGACAUCCCCGCCCCUCCGGCCUCAGACAUCAGGAUAUCAGGUCAGCUCCAGUUCUUGCUGGGACCAAUAAACAAUAGAAGCAACCACCAUAGAGACUGAAGAGGACAAAGGAAACCAAACCUCACUGUGUGUCUUCAAGAUCUUCUGUUCACAUAGUUGCAGGAAGUUGCUGUAGACAAAGUAUGAAGAAUGAAGCCCACCCAGGACAUCACAGCAACGAAAGAACUAUUUCUGGUAACUGUAGACCAGGUGAGAGCCACACUGUAGAACAGCAGUGCUGCCCUCUCUUCUUUGGCGAAUGUUAUGAAGACAUUCUGAUGCACUGAGGAUCAUGAUUCAUGUUAAAUGUAAAUUAAUCGUAAAAAUAACACAUCUUGCUCCAAAAUGUGACAAUUUAGAAGCUGUCUAUAUAGCCAGACCACUCUAAAUCACAGAACCUAGAAAGUAAAAAUGUGCCAUAAUUAGGACAGCAGAAAGUAACAGUAAAGUAAAGUUUUAA
Molecule: small RNA, 843 nt
Filed under: Pongo abelii (Sumatran orangutan)
Lineage: Eukaryota; Metazoa; Chordata; Mammalia; Primates; Hominidae
Description: processed transcript
Source: RNAcentral